Non-coding RNA from Oncorhynchus mykiss (rainbow trout), 767 nucleotides. Lineage: Eukaryota; Metazoa; Chordata; Actinopteri; Salmoniformes; Salmonidae. The record is from RefSeq and is a predicted model, not a curated record.
GGGUUUUCAUCUACCCCAGGGCCAGGAGUUUUUUUUUCUCAGUUUAAAACUGUGUGACCUGAUUACGAAACACUGGUCCCAUCAUAGCCCUUAUAAAACCUUUUUACAACUGAUUAAUCACUGUCAUACCUUAUAUGGUCCAGAGUUUUCCUUGUUAGGUUAACAGAUGAGGAAAAACUCCGGGCCCCAGAGGAUAAAAAUUGCCCCCUGCUCUGGGACCUAUGGUGCCACCAGUCUGCUUGUAGAUGUCAGUCACAGGGGCCCCAAAAGUCUCUGUUCUCUUGCAUGGCUUGUGUUCCCCCGGAUCCCCCUCAAGGUUAAUUCUCCUCCGCCAGCAGCACGAGAGGAGCGGGAGACUGACAGCAUUUAUCUGCUAAAUAAUAUGUUGGUCAGCCAAAAGGGAAGUUGGAUGAAGGUUAUGGAAAGACUCAUGUGAUCGGAUAGACUGGAUAAAUCUACUUCGGGAACUGAUGGACCCUAACGUUGAAGUACUCAAACCUGAGUCUGUGGUUGUCACGACUUCCGCCAAAGUCGGCUCCUCUCCUUGUUCGGGCGGCGUUCGGUGAUCGAUGUCACUGGCUUUUUUUUGUUUUGUCUUGUUCCAUACACACCUGGUUUUCAUUCCCUAAUCACACUGCAUGUAUUUAUGUUAUGUGGGUAUUCUUACGCGCCAUACUUUUUGUCUGUUCCGUGUUUGGGUACAUUUAUGUACUUUUGUGCUUUCGUUGGACCGGAAUAAAAAGUGUGCCUGUUCACUACACUCUGCU